Molecule: ribosomal RNA, 343 nt
Filed under: Tetra sinicae
Lineage: Eukaryota; Metazoa; Arthropoda; Arachnida; Trombidiformes; Eriophyidae
Description: partial 16S ribosomal RNA
Rfam family: Bacterial large subunit ribosomal RNA
Source: RNAcentral
GUAAUCAAAAGUUCAUUAAUUGUGGACCGGUAUGAAAGAAUAAAUUUCGAGUUAUUUCUACAGGAGGGGCAGUGAAUUUAAAUGGCAUUAAAAAAUAAGCCAAUAAAUGAUAGACGAGAAGACCCUAAAAGCUUUUUUUAAUAAAUUAUUUGGGGAAAAUAGUUAAACUUACCUUAUCGGGUUUUUUUUGAAUAACCAAUAAAUAAGCUACUUUAGGGAUAACAGAGCAAUUCCUUUUCUAAGCUCUUAUAUAAAAAGGAGAUUGCGACCUCGAUGUUGGAUUCUCGAAUCUAAAGGUUGCAGUAGGCCUUAAAAGAUUAGACUGUUCGUUUUUUAAACCGAG